CUGGAGCCUUCUCUUCUCCAUGCUGAACAAAUCCAGCUCUCAAACUGUUUUUGCAAGAGAGAUGUUCCAGCCCUUUGGUCAUCUUCUGGCCCUCCUCUAGACUAGAUCUAACAGGUCCACAUCCUCCUUGUGUUGUGGCCUACAGACUUAGAUGCAGUACUUCAGGUGAAAAAUAAAACAUACUUUUUUUAAAAAAAAAAUAAAAAAUUAUGGUUUCUGAAAAGAUUUUAAGACUUUAGAGUAACAAAUUUUACUCUACCAGUCUGAUACUGGAUUAGUACUCUGCAGUAAUUUAUUUCUACAAACCUUCAUGACACCAAAACACAUAAACUCCCACUGUCACUGGUGAGAAAUGAAACUGCUCAGAUCCACACUGAAAUUCUCAAGAGGUUGAUCCAAUUUCAAGUAUGUAAAGAGUAAAAAGCAUUGAGAGUCUGUUGUUUACCACAUGAGGCUUCCUAAAUCGAAAGUGUGAUGACUUUUUAGGUCAUCUAAUUUGCUUAUGUAUGUUGUAACUUGAUGAUCAUUUUGUGUGUCCAUAAAUCUCUUUCAGACUUUCUAUUUUCUCAGGUGAAUUUCCCUUCCUUUGCUGUGAAAAUACCAUGGCUCUGGCUCAUUAUAAUGAGCCAAGCAGCUUUCCUGAGCAGCAUACUUUAUUUUGUACAGUUUAUUUCCCUGGUGCUGUCCAUACUUCUGGAGGAUGUUUUCUUCAACACCUGAAUUGUCUUCUUGACUCCAUGUCUAAAAGGACUCUGGUUCUAUGUCAUCUUGGGAACCUCUGCAUUGGAAAAUGCCCUGGUUUUUUGAAGUUUCUUCCUCUAUUUCCAUUCCCAAGUGGGCUUACAGAAAGUAUAAGAUGUGGCUAAUGAAAAAUAUUGUGUAAUUGAUGCUGGAAACUAUCUCAGAAAUACAUAAAGAAAAAGCGAGAGACAAGAAACAGUUUCUUAUACGUACAUUUUCUUAUAUUGCGAGAUUUUAUCAUGUGAUUUGCUGCUUGGUAAUGCUGUGGCAGUACAUGUUUAGCUGACCAGUUAUUAGUUAAUACCAUUGUGUUUUAAUGUAGUUAUUUGUAUGAAAAUAAAAAUAAUUCUUUCCUAAAUUAAAACA
Molecule: long non-coding RNA, 1107 nt
Filed under: Parus major (Great Tit)
Lineage: Eukaryota; Metazoa; Chordata; Aves; Passeriformes; Paridae
Description: lncRNA (ENSPMJG00000013158.1)
Source: RNAcentral